Molecule: ribosomal RNA, 223 nt
Filed under: uncultured bacterium
Lineage: Bacteria
Description: partial 16S ribosomal RNA
Rfam family: Bacterial small subunit ribosomal RNA
Source: RNAcentral
CGACGUGAGGAACCUGCCUCAAAGAGGGGGACAACAGUUGGAAACGACUGCUAAUACCGCAUAAGCCCACAGCUCGGCAUCGAGCAGAGGGAAAAGGAGUGAUCCGCUUUGAGAUGGCCUCGCGUCCGAUUAGCUAGUUGGUGAGGUAAUGGCCCACCAAGGCGACGAUCGGUAGCCGGACUGAGAGGUUGAACGGCCACAUUGGGACUGAGACACGGCCCAG